RNAcentral lists this transfer RNA (70 nucleotides) under Neoceratodus forsteri (Australian lungfish). RNAcentral describes it as "tRNA-Arg". It matches the Rfam family "tRNA". From Rfam's summary of the family: Transfer RNA (tRNA) molecules are approximately 80 nucleotides in length. Their secondary structure includes four short double-helical elements and three loops (D, anti-codon, and T loops). Lineage: Eukaryota; Metazoa; Chordata; Ceratodontiformes; Ceratodontidae. The record is from RNAcentral.
GGGUAGCUAGUCCAAAGAAAGACUGUUGAUUUCGACUCAACUAAUUAUGGUGCAAACCCAUAGUUACCCU